Camponotus floridanus (Florida carpenter ant) is the source of this 596-nucleotide long non-coding RNA. RefSeq lists it as uncharacterized. NCBI's taxonomy places the organism in Eukaryota, Metazoa, Arthropoda, Insecta, Hymenoptera, Formicidae. The record is from RefSeq and is a predicted model, not a curated record. The transcript is spliced from 3 exons.
UAUCGUUAUACUCGAGAUAUUGCAAGUUCAACCUUGUGUGUGCGUUUCCGGCACGAUUUACAUGAUUGCGUUAUUAGCAUAGCCGGUCGCCAGUGCUCUUUAAUCAAAUCGCGACAGCGAUACGCGAUCUGAUAAAUAAUCACUCUGUUUGCAGGAAAGAGAGAAGCCGAGAUUGCGCGUGUAUUUCAUUCAUUUAUCCAUAUCGAGAGUCGUACAGCGAGGUUUGAAAACAUCUCUUGUUACACCAUAAAAGAUCAGAUAUUUCCGUAUGAAAGGGCACAACUGCGCAUACAAUGGCCCAACGAUAAGCCGAAGCGUCUUCAUAAUUCAAGGACUGAUAAUCACCUGAUGCUCUCGAAUGAUUAUCUCAGCCUCUGACGCAUCUCUCGGAUAUCAUGAUUGAAACGCAGACAAGAAAAUAAUAAUUGACGUGUCGCAUUCCUAUCGAUUGGUUCACUUCUCCAAUCUUAUCAUCAUAUUUCUCAUAAAAAUUCUUCGAUUGCAAGGUGUGACACAAUUUCGAAGGGCGCGUGGACGAACGAGGAAGUCCGAUAAACGUCUGCGGGACCUCAAAGUGAUGCGACCCAGGAUGCAAC